RNAcentral lists this ribosomal RNA (1213 nucleotides) under Lactococcus lactis. Its description in RNAcentral is "bacterial SSU rRNA". It matches the Rfam family "Bacterial small subunit ribosomal RNA", at positions 1 to 1236 of the family's 1533-position model. Lineage: Bacteria; Bacillati; Bacillota; Bacilli; Lactobacillales; Streptococcaceae. The record is from RNAcentral.
GCCUCAGUCCCGGAUGUUAUGGGCCCGAUGGAUGCGCGUCUAUACAUGCAGUUGAGCGCUGAAGGUUGGUACUUGUACCGACUGGAUGAGCAGCAAACGGGUGAGUAACGCGUGGGAAAUCUGCCUUUGAGCGGGGGACAACAUUUGGAAACGAAUGCUAAUACCGCAUAAAAACUUUAAACACAAGUUUUAAGUUUGAAAGAUGCAAUUGCAUCACUCAAAGAUGAUCCCGCGUUGUAUUACCUAGUUGGUGAGGUAAAGGCUCACCAAGGCGAUGAUACAUCAGCCAACCUGAGAGGGAGACCCGCCACACUUGGGACUGACACACGGCACCUAAACUCCAACGGGAGGCAGCAGUAGGGAAUCUUCGGCAAUGGACGAAAGUCUGACCGAGCAACGCCGCGUGAGUGAAGAAGGUUUUCGGAUCGUAAAACUCUGUUGGUAGAGAAGAACGUUGGUGAGAGUGGAAAGCUCAUCAAGUGACGGUAACUACCCAGAAAGGGACGGCUAACUACGUGCCAGCAGCCGCGGUAAUACGUAGGUCCCGAGCGUUGUCCGGAUUUAUUGGGCGUAAAGCGAGCGCAGGUGGUUUAUUAAGUCUGGUGUAAAAGGCAGUGGCUCAACCAUUGUAUGCAUUGGAAACUGGUAGACUUGAGUGCAGGAGAGGAGAGUGGAAUUCCAUGUGUAGCGGUGAAAUGCGUAGAUAUAUGGAGGAACACCGGUGGCGAAAGCGGCUCUCUGGCCUGUAACUGACACUGAGCUCGAAAGCGUGGGGAGCAAACAGGAUUAGAUACCCUGGUAGUCCACGCCGUAAACGAUGAGUGCUAGAUGUAGGGAGCUAUAAGUUCUCUGUAUCGCAGCUAACGCAAUAAGCACUCCGCCUGGGGAGUACGACCGCAAGGUUGAAACUCAAAGGAAUUGACGGGGGCCCGCACAGCGGUGGAGCAUGUGGUUAAAUCGGAGCACCGCGAAGACCUUACAGUCUUGACAUACUCGUGCUAUUCCUAGAGAUAGGAGUUCUUCGGACACGGGAUAAGGUGGGUGCAUGGUUGUCUUCAGCUCUGGUCUGGAAUGUUGGGUAGAUCCCGCAACAGACGCACCCUAUUGUAGUGCCAUCAUUANUGGCAUCUUACGGAACUGCGUGAUAAACCGGAGGAGUGGGAUUGCUCAAUCUCAUCCAUGCCUUUAGACUGGCUACGUUCGAUGAAGUACA